RNAcentral lists this ribosomal RNA (618 nucleotides) under Hanseniaspora guilliermondii. Its description in RNAcentral is "eukaryotic LSU rRNA". It matches the Rfam family "Eukaryotic large subunit ribosomal RNA", at positions 37 to 668 of the family's 3401-position model. Lineage: Eukaryota; Fungi; Ascomycota; Saccharomycetes; Saccharomycodales; Saccharomycodaceae. The record is from RNAcentral.
UGCAUAUCCCAUAAGCGGAGGAAAAGAAACCAACUGGGAUUACCUUAGUAACGGCGAGUGAAGCGGUAAAAGCUCAAAUUUGAAAUCUGGUACUUUCAGUGCCCGAGUUGUAAUUUGUAGAAUUUGUCUUUGAUUAGGUCCUUGUCUAUGUUCCUUGGAACAGGACGUCAUAGAGGGUGAGAAUCCCGUUUGGCGAGGAUACCUUUUCUCUGUAAGACUUUUUCGAAGAGUCGAGUUGUUUGGGAAUGCAGCUCAAAGUGGGUGGUAAAUUCCAUCUAAAGCUAAAUAUUGGCGAGAGACCGAUAGCGAACAAGUACAGUGAUGGAAAGAUGAAAAGAACUUUGAAAAGAGAGUGAAAAAGUACGUGAAAUUGUUGAAAGGGAAGGGCAUUUGAUCAGACAUGGUGUUUUUUGCAUGCACUCGCCUCUCGUGGGCUUGGGCCUCUCAAAAAUUUCACUGGGCCAACAUCAAUUCUGGCAGUAGGAUAAAUCAUUAAGAAUGUAGCUACCUCGGUAGUGUUAUAGCUUAUUGGAAUACUGCUAGCUGGGAUUGAGGACUGCGCUUCGGCAAGGAUGUUGGCAUAAUGGUUAAAUGCCGCCCGUCUUGAAACMCGGACCA